Molecule: ribosomal RNA, 331 nt
Filed under: uncultured eukaryote
Lineage: Eukaryota
Description: partial 18S ribosomal RNA
Rfam family: Eukaryotic small subunit ribosomal RNA
Source: RNAcentral
CCCUUAGAUGUCCGGGGCUGCACGCGCGCUACACUGAAGGAAUCAGCGUGCUAGAAAACCUUGUUUGACAUGGCUAGGUAACCCGUUGAAAAUCUUUCGUGAUUGGGAUCGGGACUUGCAAAUGUGUCCCUUGAACGAGGAAUUCCCAGUAAGUGCGGGUCAUAAGCUCGCGCUGAUUACGUCCCUGCCCUUUGUACACACCGCCCGUCGCUGCCCGGAACUGAGCCGUUUCGAGAAGACUGGGGACUGCGAACUUUGGGCUGGAAAACAGCUUUUUGUUUGUGGAAACCACUUUAAUCGCAGCGGCUUGAACCGGGCAAGAGUCGUAACA